Molecule: transfer RNA, 70 nt
Filed under: Felis catus (domestic cat)
Lineage: Eukaryota; Metazoa; Chordata; Mammalia; Carnivora; Felidae
Also listed under: 1 other name
Source: Rfam by way of RNAcentral
GCUCAGUCAGUUAAGCAGCCAACUCUUGAUUUUGGUUCAUGGUUCGUGGGAUCAAGCCCCACACUGGGCU